AGCUGGCUGACGAGUCCCAAAUAGGACGAAAUAAUGCGCAUCCUGGAU
RNAcentral lists this non-coding RNA (48 nucleotides) under Trichobilharzia regenti. The record is from RNAcentral. Lineage: Eukaryota; Metazoa; Platyhelminthes; Trematoda; Strigeidida; Schistosomatidae.